This 371-nucleotide ribosomal RNA is filed under the name uncultured organism. Its description in RNAcentral is "bacterial SSU rRNA". It matches the Rfam family "Bacterial small subunit ribosomal RNA", at positions 526 to 896 of the family's 1533-position model. The record is from RNAcentral.
CAGAGGGUGCAAGCGUUGUUCGGAUUAUUGGGCGUAAAGCGCGUGUAGGCGGCUUUGCAAGUCGGGUGUGAAAUCCCUCAGCUUAACUGAGGAAGUGCGCCCGAAACUGCCGAGCUUGAAUACCGGAGAGGACGGCGGAAUUCCCCAAGUAGAGGUGAAAUUCGUAGAUAUGGGGAGGAACACCGGUGGCGAAGGCGGCCAUCUGGACGGCUAUUGACGCUGAGACGCGAAAGCAUGGGGAGCAAACAGGAUUAGAUACCCUGGUAGUCCAUGCCGUAAACGAUGAGAACUAGGUGUUGUGGGUGUUGACCCCCGCGGUGCCGUAGCUAACGCAUUAAGUUCUCCGCCUGGGAAGUACGGCCGCAAGGCUA